GCCUAAUACAUGCAAGUCGAACGCUUUUUCUUUCACCGGAGCUUGCUCCACCGAAAGAAAAAGAGUGGCGAACGGGUGAGUAACACGUGGGUAACCUGCCCAUCAGAAGGGGAUAACACUUGGAAACAGGUGCUAAUACCGUAUAACAAGUAAAACCGCAUGGUUUUACUUUGAAAGGCGCUUUUGCGUCACUGAUGGAUGGACCCGCGGUGCAUUAGCUAGUUGGUGAGGUAACGGCUCACCAAGGCAACGAUGCAUAGCCGACCUGAGAGGGUGAUCGGCCACAUUGGGACUGAGACACGGCCCAAACUCCUACGGGAGGCAGCAGUAGGGAAUCUUCGGCAAUGGACGAAAGUCUGACCGAGCAACGCCGCGUGAGUGAAGAAGGUUUUCGGAUCGUAAAACUCUGUUGUUAGAGAAGAACAAGGAUGAGAGUAAAAUGUUCAUCCCUUGACGGUAUCUAACCAGAAAGCCACGGCUAACUACGUGCCAGCAGCCGCGGUAAUACGUAGGUGGCAAGCGUUGUCCGGAUUUAUUGGGCGUAAAGCGAGCGCAGGCGGUUUCUUAAGUCUGAUGUGAAAGCCCCCGGCUCAACCGGGGAGGGUCAUUGGAAACUGGGAAACUUGAGUGCAGAAGAGGAGAGUGGAAUUCCAUGUGUAGCGGUGAAAUGCGUAGAUAUAUGGAGGAACACCAGUGGCGAAGGCGGCUCUCUGGUCUGUAACUGACGCUGAGGCUCGAAAGCGUGGGGAGCAAACAGGAUUAGAUACCCUGGUAGUCCACGCCGUAAACGAUGAGUGCUAAGUGUUGGAGGGUUUCCGCCCUUCAGUGCUGCAGCUAACGCAUUAAGCACUCCGCCUGGGGAGUACGACCGCAAGGUUGAAACUCAAAGGAAUUGACGGGGGCCCGCACAAGCGGUGGAGCAUGUGGUUUAAUUCGAAGCAACGCGAAGAACCUUACCAGGUCUUGACAUCCUUUGACCACUCUAGAGAUAGAGCUUCCCCUUCGGGGGCAAAGUGACAGGUGGUUGCAUGGUUGUCGUCAGCUCGUGUCGUGAGAUGUUGGGGUUAAGUCCCGCAACGAGCGCAACCCUUUAUUGUUAGUUGCCAUCAUUU
Molecule: ribosomal RNA, 1112 nt
Filed under: Enterococcus sp. H-VRE-82
Lineage: Bacteria; Bacillati; Bacillota; Bacilli; Lactobacillales; Enterococcaceae
Description: bacterial SSU rRNA
Rfam family: Bacterial small subunit ribosomal RNA
Source: RNAcentral